GAUGAAGAACGUAGCGAAAUGCGAUAAGUAAUGUGAAUUGCAGAAUUCAGUGAAUCAUCGAAUCUUUGAACGCACAUUGCGCCCGCCAGUAUUCUGGCGGGCAUGCCUGUUCGAGCGUCAUUUCAACCAUCAAGCCCCAGGCUUGUGUUGGGGACCUGCGGCUGCCGCAGGCCCUGAAAACCAGUGGCGGGCUCGCUGUCACACCGGGCGUAGUAGAUUUUAUCUCGCUCUGGGCGUGCUGCGGGUUCCGGCCGUUAAAAAACCCUUUUAACCCAAGGUUGACCUCGGAUCAGGUAGGAAUGCCCGCUGAACUUAAGCAUAUCAAUAAGCGGAGGA
RNAcentral lists this unclassified non-coding RNA (336 nucleotides) under soil metagenome. RNAcentral's name for it is "partial contains 5.8S ribosomal RNA, internal transcribed spacer 2, and large subunit ribosomal RNA". The stretch from base 1 to 120 matches the Rfam family "5.8S ribosomal RNA", at positions 35 to 154 of the family's 154-position model. The record is from RNAcentral.